RNAcentral lists this ribosomal RNA (460 nucleotides) under uncultured bacterium. RNAcentral describes it as "partial 16S ribosomal RNA". It matches the Rfam family "Bacterial small subunit ribosomal RNA", at positions 338 to 795 of the family's 1533-position model. The record is from RNAcentral.
CCUACGGGAGGCAGCAGUGAGGAAUAUUGGUCAAUGGACGCAAGUCUGAACCAGCCAUGCCGCGUGCAGGAAGACGGCUCUAUGAGUUGUAAACUGCUUUUGUACGAGGGUAAACGCAGAUACGCGUAUCUGUCUGAAAGUAUCGUACGAAUAAGGAUCGGCUAACUCCGUGCCAGCAGCCGCGGUAAUACGGAGGAUUCAAGCGUUAUCCGGAUUUAUUGGGUUUAAAGGGUGCGUAGGCGGUCGGAUAAGUUAGAGGUGAAAUCCCGAGGCGCAACUUCGGAAUUGCCGCUGAUACUGUUCGGCGAGAGAGUAGUUGCGGUAGGCGGAAUGUAGGGUGUAGCGGUGAAAUGCUUAGAGAUCAUACAGAACACCGAUUGCGAAGGCAGCUUACCAAGCUACUUCUGACGUUGAGGCACGAAAGCGUGGGGAGCAAACAGGAUUAGAUACCCUUGUAGUC